GCAUGAUAUUGAGAUACGGUUUGCUUAAAAUCGAUACUCAAUAGUUAAUUUGCACUCCUGAGCACUGUAGUGAUUACAAAAAUGUUGCUUUGUGUUUACUGUUGCUACUCGUAAGUCUAUUUGUUAUAGGUUACAUUACAGUCUGAGUUAGUAUAGAUGCUCCAAAUACAGUAAAACUAAAAAAUAUAGCGUAGGCGUAGCGAAAUAGCGAAAUAGUUCGCUACAUUUUUUAAGCAGUAGCUAUAGUCAGUAGCGAACUACCUUUGUUCAAAAGUAGCAGUAGUUGUAGCGGACUACAUAUUUUUGAAGUAGCUGUAGUUAUAGCGAACUACAAAAAUUUUGUAGUCAACCCACCCUUGUAUAUUCAAUA
Paramuricea clavata is the source of this 370-nucleotide non-coding RNA. The record is from the annotation of a GenBank genome assembly. NCBI's taxonomy places the organism in Eukaryota, Metazoa, Cnidaria, Anthozoa, Malacalcyonacea, Plexauridae.